GAUUACCUGUUUCUAUUUGAAUUUUUGCUAUUGCUAUUACAAUGAUAUUAUUAUAUUCAACUUGAUCCACUAGGAUGGGAAGUGGGCCAAUGACAAAUCACUAAGAGGCAUGGUCGUACGUGUUUUGUGUGGAUGAAUAAUGAUAUGGGGGUUUCUUGACAGCAGGACAAUUACUUUUGUUUUUAAUUUUUUUCCUUUUUAUUUUUAAAACAAUCGUAGAUUCAUAAUAGGAUCAAUACAAUUAGAGGUCAUAAUAUUAAUAUAUACGUGUUACCAGUUUCAUAAAUUUUCUACCAUUUUAUCUUGUUCCUGUUUUUAUUUAGAAAGUGAAAGUUAAGUAUUUUACGAACUAAUAAAUCAGCUUUCCGAACUGUCGUUUAAGCUGUUUAAUUUCAUGACUGUUUUUAAUUUAACCAACUUAUAAAAAAAUCAAUGCAUAGAGAUACUUUGGCCUUAUAGACCCAAUACAAAAAAGUCAAA
This 480-nucleotide long non-coding RNA is filed under the name Brassica rapa (field mustard). Its description in RNAcentral is "long non-coding RNA (BRAP_LNC007402)". Lineage: Eukaryota; Viridiplantae; Streptophyta; Magnoliopsida; Brassicales; Brassicaceae. The record is from RNAcentral.